UACGUAGGGGCCUAGCGUUGUCCGGAUUUAUUGGGCGUAAAGAGCUCGUAGGCGGUUCGGUAAGUCAGGUGUGAAAUCUCCACGCUCAACGUGGAGGCGCCACCUGAAACUGCCGUGACUCGAGUCCGGUAGGGGAGUGUGGAAUUCCUGGUGUAGCGGUGAAAUGCGCAGAUAUCAGGAAGAACACCCGUGGCGAAGGCGGUUCUCUGGGACGGUACUGACGCUGAGACGCGAAAGCGUGGGGAGCGAACAGG
RNAcentral lists this ribosomal RNA (254 nucleotides) under uncultured bacterium. RNAcentral's name for it is "partial 16S ribosomal RNA". It matches the Rfam family "Bacterial small subunit ribosomal RNA", at positions 524 to 776 of the family's 1533-position model. The record is from RNAcentral.